UGGUUCUCGCAUCGAUGAAGAACGCAGCGAAAUGCGAUAAGUAAUGUGAAUUGCAGAAUUCAGUGAAUCAUCGAAUCUUUGAACGCACAUUGCGCCCCUUGGCAUUCCGGGGGGCAUGCCCGUUCGAGCGUCAUUACACCACUCAAGCCUGGCUUGGUAUUGGGCCCCGGGGACUCCCCCGCGCCCCCAUUUCGUCGGCUGGACGGUUGGAAUCUCGGCGUUGUGAAUCAAUUCGCUGACGAGGACGACCGGCCGGGCCGUUAAACCCUUUCAUUCAGGUUGACCUCGGAUCGGGUAGGGAUACCCGCUGA
RNAcentral lists this unclassified non-coding RNA (311 nucleotides) under uncultured fungus. Its description in RNAcentral is "partial contains 5.8S ribosomal RNA and internal transcribed spacer 2". The stretch from base 1 to 133 matches the Rfam family "5.8S ribosomal RNA", at positions 22 to 154 of the family's 154-position model. Lineage: Eukaryota; Fungi. The record is from RNAcentral.